ACUGGAUAUCAAAAAGAUCCGUGUGAUUUACCUAAAGAGUUGGUUCAUACCAGAUGUGAUUGCAGCAUUCCCAAUUGGCUACAUACUAUUAAUCGCGGAGUUACAAUCCCACAGUGACACCUCCACCUCAGGUUCCAAAGCCAGUAGAAUGGUGCGGAUCCUCAUGUUUGUCCGAAUCAUCAGCCUUGUCAGGCUCCUCAGAGUCUCCAGGCUUGUCCGCUUCUUCAAUGAAGUAGAAAAGGUUUCAAAUGCCAACUUGGAGUAUGUUCAGCUGUUCUUCCGCAUACUGUCUUUGUUUAUGAUGAUGUUUCUGCUGUGCCACUGGAACGGCUGUAUCCAGUACUUUGUCCCGAUGCUGGAGGAGUUCCCUUCUGACUGCUGGGUCAGACAAGAGAA
Salvelinus namaycush (lake trout) is the source of this 396-nucleotide long non-coding RNA. RefSeq lists it as uncharacterized. NCBI's taxonomy places the organism in Eukaryota, Metazoa, Chordata, Actinopteri, Salmoniformes, Salmonidae. The record is from RefSeq and is a predicted model, not a curated record. The transcript is spliced from 3 exons.